This is a long non-coding RNA of Brachypodium distachyon (stiff brome), 420 nucleotides long. RefSeq lists it as uncharacterized. NCBI's taxonomy places the organism in Eukaryota, Viridiplantae, Streptophyta, Magnoliopsida, Poales, Poaceae. The record is from RefSeq and is a predicted model, not a curated record. The transcript has 2 exons.
UGCAGACUACGCCGUUCUCUUCUCCCUUCUCUACUCGAAUGCCUAUAGCUGGAGCAAAGAUGGAUUCAAAGAUUCAUAAAUAAUGUGCAUACAUUCAGAAAUUUCAAUUCACGGUUCAAUUUUUAGGGUGAUUUGGCUCAGUUCGUGGUACGCGAAGGAGAACUCAAGCCAGUACGAGGCAAGAGCAACGGUUUGGUGUGGGCUUUGAAGAUGAAGUUAUGUUGGCCAAGAGCAGAGAUGAUGCCUGAAGCUGCUAUGAUCGAUUGACAAAAAAAUUGAAAUUGUUAGCUUCUUUUCUGUCUGACUCGAGUUUUGCAUAGGCAUAGCUGUGUGUACUGAAGCAAACUGCAGUUAUUUUGUGAUGAUGUAAUAGAAUGUGUACUGUGGUGUGCCAGUAUAAAUUCAAUGAUUCAGAAAUAA